This 90-nucleotide transfer RNA is filed under the name Holosporaceae bacterium. Its description in RNAcentral is "tRNA-Ser". It matches the Rfam family "tRNA". From Rfam's summary of the family: Transfer RNA (tRNA) molecules are approximately 80 nucleotides in length. Their secondary structure includes four short double-helical elements and three loops (D, anti-codon, and T loops). Lineage: Bacteria; Pseudomonadati; Pseudomonadota; Alphaproteobacteria; Holosporales; Holosporaceae. The record is from RNAcentral.
GGAGAGAUGGCCGAGUGGUUUAAGGCGCGCCCCUGGAAAGGGCGUAUAGGGGAAAUCUUAUCGGGAGUUCGAAUCUCCCUCUCUCCGCCA